GGGCCCGUAGCUCAGCAAGGCAGAGCAGCGGACUCUUAAUCCGUCGGUCACGGGUUCAAUUCCCGCCGGGCCCGCCA
This 77-nucleotide transfer RNA is filed under the name Candidatus Bathyarchaeota archaeon. Its description in RNAcentral is "tRNA-Lys". It matches the Rfam family "tRNA". From Rfam's summary of the family: Transfer RNA (tRNA) molecules are approximately 80 nucleotides in length. The record is from RNAcentral. Lineage: Archaea; Thermoproteati; Candidatus Bathyarchaeota. RNAcentral also lists the same sequence under 2 other names.